AUUCCAGCAUUAGAAGCUAGCAGAUGUCCAGGAAGGCAUGAGGUUAGAGGGGAAAAUUCUACCACCAGAGAACUCCAUUUUCCCUAUCUAUACAACAAAAAAUGUAUAGGGACAGACCCUUCCUGGGAAGUCAAUUCAUCAAGGCCGUUGAUGGAGAGCAAAGGGAACGUCACUUUCCUUUCCUGACUGUCAGAUACUUACUCAAUUCAGAGGCACAUUGGACUUGAUCACAGGUUUUGUAAAAAGGGGAUUAUAUCUAACCCUUCAUUUUUAUAAAUAAAGACCCCUUCGGCCAAAAGAGGAAAUGACUAAAUCCCAAGGAUCUUCUACAAUAGAGGAGAUUUGAAGCCAGGUUUUCUGCUUCUGAAUGCUGGACCUGGAUCUUCACUUCACCAGGAUCUUCCUAAGGCAACAAGAGAGCCACAUUGUCCAUCACCCUGGAAACCCUGAGCACAAUACAACGGAAAAGAUGUUGGAGGUUCAAAUCCACACGCCUUCCUGAAUAUGUAGGUUCAGACCCUUCUUGGGAAGUCGAUUCAUCAAGGGCACUGAUGGAGAGCAAAGGAACGUCAUUUUCCUUUUGUGACCAUAAGUCACAAACUGGUUGCUCAGUUCAAACAAAUAGCAGAGAAAAGCAUCUUGGAUCUGGUCUAUCCCCCCACCCCCCAAAUUAAAACAAAAAAAUAAAUAAAGCCAACAUCUGUGUACUUCCUUCCUCCCCUUCCGUGUUCCCCUUUCCUCCCACUAAUCCACACUAAAGACAGAUGUAGAAACCUGAUCUUUUAAAGGCUAAAAAAAAAAAAGCCUGAUAAUAUGACUGGGACCAAAGUAGUAUCAUAUGGU
Molecule: long non-coding RNA, 843 nt
Organism: Sarcophilus harrisii (Tasmanian devil)
Lineage: Eukaryota; Metazoa; Chordata; Mammalia; Dasyuromorphia; Dasyuridae
Exons: 2
Source: RefSeq, a predicted model, not a curated record